CCUACGGGAGGCAGCAGUGAGGAAUAUUGGUCAAUGGACGCAAGUCUGAACCAGCCAUGCCGCGUGCAGGAUGACGGCCCUAUGAGUUGUAAACUGCUUUUGUACGAGGGUAAACCCCGAUACGUGUAUCGGGUUGAAAGUAUCGUACGAAUAAGGAUCGGCUAACUCCGUGCCAGCAGCCGCGGUAAUACGGAGGAUCCGAGCGUUAUCCGGAUUUAUUGGGUUUAAAGGGUGCGUAGUCGGUUUGAUAAGUUAGAGGUGAAAUGUCGGGGCUCAACCCCGAAACUGCCUCUAAUACUGUGUGACUAGAGAAUAGUGGCGGUAGGCGGAAUGUAUGGUGUAGCGGUGAAAUGCUUAGAGAUCAUACAGAACACCGAUUGCGAAGGCAGCUUACCAAACUAUAUCUGACGUUGAGGCACGAAAGCGUGGGUAGCGAACAGGAUUAGAUACCCCAGUAGUC
Molecule: ribosomal RNA, 460 nt
Filed under: uncultured bacterium
Lineage: Bacteria
Description: partial 16S ribosomal RNA
Rfam family: Bacterial small subunit ribosomal RNA
Source: RNAcentral